UGUCUGCAGAUCUCCAUCCAGGACAUCCUGAGGCCCUCCUUUAGACCUUCCCUGUUGUUUCCGCCCACCACUGGGUCAAGUGGGUCCAUAGCAGGUGGGAUGCUGGGAGGGAGAUGGAAAGAGACUUCCUGAUUAAGAACGAGGGGCACAAACAUGGACAGAUGUUUUCCGAACCCCAUCUGGCCCAAACCUUCCAGCUACCAUCAACCCCUCCCAUCUACCAUUCAGAACAGAGGCGUGAUGAGUCUGGAGGAUCUAUGUGACCAUGACAACGAGGAGUUCAAACAAAUCCACACUGACUACAGGGGGGUGAAGCUAUGGAAAAUCUCUCAUGGCAGGACUCAUGGCCCUCAAUAUACUGGAGAACUUUCCCAUCAAAGGUACACUCCUCAC
Molecule: non-coding RNA, 393 nt
Organism: Oncorhynchus mykiss (rainbow trout)
Lineage: Eukaryota; Metazoa; Chordata; Actinopteri; Salmoniformes; Salmonidae
Source: RefSeq, a predicted model, not a curated record